This 117-nucleotide small RNA is filed under the name human gut metagenome. RNAcentral's name for it is "Ribosomal protein L10 leader". It matches the Rfam family "Ribosomal protein L10 leader". From Rfam's summary of the family: This family is a putative r-protein leader autoregulatory structure found in B. subtilis and other low-GC Gram-positive bacteria. The record is from RNAcentral.
UAUAAUAUCAUUCGUGCCGUAGACAGCAGGUGACUAUUGUCGUAAAGUUUACUACCUGCCGAGGAUACAAGUUUGAUUGUAUUUUAUCUCUCUGUCUGCUGACAGAGAGUUUUUUUA